This 293-nucleotide ribosomal RNA is filed under the name uncultured eukaryote. Its description in RNAcentral is "partial 18S ribosomal RNA". It matches the Rfam family "Eukaryotic small subunit ribosomal RNA", at positions 6 to 275 of the family's 1831-position model. The record is from RNAcentral.
GGUUGAUCCUGCCAGUAGUCAUACGCUUGUCUCAAAGAUUAAGCCAUGCAUGUCUAAGUAUAAACCGCUUCAACGGUGAAACUGCGAAUGGCUCAUUAAAUCAGUUAUAGUCCACUUGAUAGUCCCUUGCUACUCGGAUAACCGUAGUAAAUCUAGAGCUAAUACGUGCACAAAGGGCCGACUGGGGGGGAGGGGCAACUCUCUCGCACGCAAACCCCGGAAGGCUCGUAUUUAUUAGAUACGACAAACCGAUACGGGGCAUUCCAAACCGGAGGAAAAAGGCGGCUCCGAGG